UACGGGGGGAGCAAGCGUUGUUCGGAUUUACUGGGCGUAAAGGGCGCGUAGGCGGUCGUGACAAGUCACUUGUGAAAUCUCCGGGCUUAACUCGGAACGGUCAAGUGAUACUGUCGGACUAGAGUACAGAAGGGGCAACUGGAAUUCUCGGUGUAGCGGUGAAAUGCGUAGAUAUCGAGAGGAACACCUGCGGCGAAGGCGGGUUGCUGGGCUGAUACUGACGCUGAGGAACGAAAGCUAGGGGAGCGAACGGG
RNAcentral lists this ribosomal RNA (254 nucleotides) under uncultured bacterium. Its description in RNAcentral is "partial 16S ribosomal RNA". It matches the Rfam family "Bacterial small subunit ribosomal RNA", at positions 524 to 776 of the family's 1533-position model. The record is from RNAcentral.